CGUGCCAGCAGCCGCGGUAAUUCGGAGGGUGUGAGCGUAAUUCGGAAUUGCCCGGCGUUAGGCGCAUGCCCGUGGUUUGUUAAGUCAGAUGUGAAAGCCCGGGGCUCAACCUCGGAAUUGCAUUUGAAACUGGCAGACUAGAGUACUGUAGAGGGGGGUAGAAUUUCAGGUGUAGCGGUGAAAUGCGUAGAGAUCUGAAGGAAUACCGGUGGCGAAGGCGGCCCCCUGGACAGAUACUGACACUCAGAUGCGAAAGCGUGGGGAGCAAACAGGAUUAGAUACCCUGGUAGUCCACGCCGUAAACGAUGUCUACUUGGAGGUUGUGGCCUUGAGCCGUGGCUUUCGGAUCUAACGCGUUAAGUAGACCGCCUGGGGAGUACGGUCGCAAGAUUAAAACUCAAAUGAAUUGACGGGGGCCCGCACAAGCGGUGGAGCAUGUGGUUUAAUUCGAUGCAACGUGAAGAUCCUUACCUACUCUUGACAUCCAGAGAACUUUCCAGAGAUGGAUUGGUGCCUUAGGGAACUCUGAGACAGGUGCUGCAUGGCUGUCGUCAGCUCGUGUUGUGAAAUGUUGGGUUAAGUCCCGCAACGAGCGCAACCCUUAUCCUUGUUUGCCAGCGAGUAAUGUCGGGAACUCCAGGGAGACUGCCGGUGAUAAACCGGAGGAAGGUGGGGACGACGUCAAGUCAUCAUGGCCCUUACGAGUAGGGCUACACACGUGCUACAAUGGCGCAUACAGAGGGCAGCCAACUUGCGAGAGUGAGCGAAUCCCAAAAAGUGCGUCGUAGUCCGGAUCGGAGUCUGCAACUCGACUCCGUGAAGUCGGAAUCGUUAGUAAUCGUGGAUCUGAAUGCCACGGUGAAUACGUUCCCGGCCCUUGUACACACCGCCCGUCACACCAUGGGAGUGGGCUGCAAAAGAAGUAG
RNAcentral lists this ribosomal RNA (926 nucleotides) under Vibrio sp. PKP8. RNAcentral's name for it is "bacterial SSU rRNA". It matches the Rfam family "Bacterial small subunit ribosomal RNA", at positions 504 to 1429 of the family's 1533-position model. The record is from RNAcentral. Lineage: Bacteria; Pseudomonadati; Pseudomonadota; Gammaproteobacteria; Vibrionales; Vibrionaceae.